This 1853-nucleotide long non-coding RNA is filed under the name Carica papaya (papaya). Its description in RNAcentral is "long non-coding RNA (CPAP_LNC003622)". Lineage: Eukaryota; Viridiplantae; Streptophyta; Magnoliopsida; Brassicales; Caricaceae. The record is from RNAcentral.
CUUGCUAUUAGUCUUCCUAUUCUGGAAUUGAUAAGAAGGGAUUGAGCCACACUUACUCAGUAAGAAUAAUUUAAGACUCUAAUCCAAAGAUCAUAGAUAAUAUACUAAUUCGAACCAUUACAUUUACAUGAAGCUUACCACGCCCUUCAUAACCAUCUGAUUUUCACAUCCUACUACAAUUACAUCAAUUUUACUAAUCACAUGUUUCUCACUUUUAUAUACUUCAUUUCAUUCAAAGGAUAUCUAUAAUUUACAUAACAACAUUCUCAUAAAUUACUUUUGGUUUAAUCAUAAUUUUAUAAACGCAAUAUCAUAUUCAUAUUAAUUACGCAUAUUUACACAUAAAAUGUCCUUUCUUAAAUUCUUAUCUACACAUAGAAUACCAUUCCUUAAACACAUCACACAUAAUACCUUUUUUUGAACACAUAUUCAUGCAUAUAGUAUCUCUCCUUAAACACAUAGAAUACCCUAUCUCAUAUACAUGUUCACCUAACAAUAUAUUCUCAUUAUUCACUAACACAACUGGUCACAUAUGCACAUAGACUUAUAAUCGUAAUCACAUAAUAUCAUUCAGUCACAAUCACAGAAAGAGAUGAUAAUUCACACCACCAAUAUGGACCAAAACAUAGCUUCCACAAGUAAUAGUUACAGCCACAGUUACGAUUCACAUCAUCCCCCAGGGACACAGUCAUAAUUAGAGUCACAGUUACAAUUCACAUCGUCCCCCAAGGACACGGUCAUAGUUACAAUCAACAAACAGUUCAUGAGAUAGAGUUCAUAAUCAUUCCAUACUAAUCCUGAACUGCACAUAUAUUUACAUUUCAAUGAUAAAGAAAAUCUUUACUGUGAAUCCCAAGUAUUUUCUAUCAUAAUUUUCUUCAUAUAAUACCUUGACAUUUCUACUUAAUUCAUCCUUAUUCUAUUGUUGGGGCGAGUCUUAAUUUCGUAAUUUUUCAUGCGUAAAUUAUCCCCAAGUUCUAGAACUCAACCCGCUUCUAAAAUGUCUUAAUUUAUCUAAGAUAUUAAAAGAUGGAUCACAAUAUUUAAACUCCAAUUUAUUCACGUCAUAAAUGAUUUAAAUUGCCCACUGAUUCAUAAUCACCGAAAAAUUUCUAUAUUUUUCUCAUUAUACACAUUGUUACCAAAAUUCGAUCAAUCGCAACACCACUAUAAUUUUGUAAAUGGCUUAUUCACUCUAUUAAUUAUUAAAUCAAUUCACAUAUCUAAUAUUUAUUUAAUGUAUUAUAUUCAUUAAUAAUGUUUCAUUUUAUAUAAUUUACCUUUUCAAAGUCAUAAUGAAUUUCCUCAACCAAUAUUCUAGAUCUCAAGCCCAUCAUAAUCAUUCUUGUUUUCUGACCCGUUACUAUUCACUACUUGGAAUGUAGUUGACCCUGCUUAUUUGGUUGUAAACUAGGAGCCCAUACAAUCUUUAUUUCAAAUUUACUUUUUUUUUGCUUCUGGGCUAGAAGCCCAAUGAAACAACCCAUUUGUUAAUUUCUCAAAACUAUUACUUAUUUGCUAUCUCCAUUUGUUUUAAAUUAAUAUAACCCCUCAACUAAAUUUUAUCUUUCUCUCUUAACCCAUUUAUAAGGGUUGGGUUCACUGAAAUUUUAGUUGCUCUUAUUCCCUUCCAAUAGGCUAGGCCCACUAGAUUUAAUUUCCUUCCUCUUUUUUUGCUUAAUUUCUUCAAGCUUGGCCGAAUUCAUGGGCAUGAAUUGGUUAGCUGUCUAUCAUGCCACUCUGGAUUGCUUUCAUAAGACAGUUGAUUUCUAUCCUCCUAAUAAUGAACCUUACUCCCUGUAAAUAAUCUUUUGUAAUCAAUGAAAGUAAUAAUAUAUUUUGGUGCAUUCUGU